GAUCAUGGCUGGACAGUUUGGACGUGUGCCGGCCCUUCCUGCGCAGCCUCAGCUCGGCG
Molecule: ribosomal RNA, 59 nt
Filed under: Petromyzon marinus (sea lamprey)
Lineage: Eukaryota; Metazoa; Chordata; Hyperoartia; Petromyzontiformes; Petromyzontidae
Source: RNAcentral